UAUUAUUUUUCACACAAACUCAAAAUUGCUUAUAAAAUUACAAAUCAAAACAAAUGAAAGCAAAUCCAAAAUUGCCCUAAAUUAAAUCUGAUUAGUUAAAUGUUUGUUGCCCUACAAAUGUCAUUACACCCGACAAAACUUGCUUUGAAGUUGAUAUUUUGGUCAAUCCGGGGGAAAAUGAGCUAUUGCUUUUGGAGCAGUUGUCAUGGAGAUUACCAUCUCCCUGUUGAAUGAUCUAAAAAAGGACUUACAGCUUCUGGUGGCCAUAAUAAUUUAGGAGGUCCUUCGCUCCAGAUUUUCUCAAUAACUUUCCUUUUCGUGGCUGGUAGGAUUGCAACUCCAAGAAUUGCUCUGAAGAGAUAUAUGCAAACAAAAUCAAACUAAAACUAAGCUGUUGGAAGAAAUUUAGAAAACACAAACACCACAACUCAGAGUUAAAGUCAACAGAAACCAAAUGGUAGAAGUUGAAAAAAAUAUAUGGUGAUGAAUCGAGAACUUCAUUAAACUAACAGCAAUAAAAUCUCAUAUAAUCUGUCAAAAACCAAAAAAGAGAGAGGUAAUUUCAAAACCUUGUAACGCUGAGGCGUCGUACAGUUGUAGUAAUAAUAUAUGGUUGAUGCACCUGUUGCUCAAUCAAAUCCUCUGUCUGGCUAAAAAAAUAAAAAUCUAUAAAUACAUUCACGUCCAAUUUAUGAGAAAUCAUGGGAAAGUAAAUGCACUGAUAACGGAAUUAUGAAUAUGAACUUGCCAAAAAGAAAAAGAAAACUUCUUAUAGUGUGCCAAGAACAUCCUCCUACUCCUAGCAAUUUUUAAUGGCAUUGUCCACUUCUCAAUUCAUAAUUCAACCAAUAACUCAAAGUCUAUAGUGUUUGAAAAAGUGAUAUCUUAGUUGAUCACGAUGAUAAUUAAGCAGAUUAAAUGAUGACCCAUAAAGCAUACAAAUUCAGAAAAGAAAAGGUUCAAAACUGUCAUGAGAAAAUACAGAAUAUAUAAACAGGAAAUCAAAAAAAGAGAAGUGAAAAAGGAAGAAACAACCAAACAAAAUUAUUAGGUUUGGGAUAUACCUUUAUCUGAAACGCCACAAUCAUCAAAGUCAAACUUAAACAACAACAACAACAACAACAACAACAAAGCCUUUUCCCACUAAGUGGGAAAGUCAAACUUAAACAAUCCAAAAAUUUGUGGAAAAUACCAAUAAAUGCUCAACUAAAAACGAAAGAAACGUAGAAUAAGUUUACCUGUUCUGCCCCUAAUUAAACUGGAAUACAAUUCACCACUAAUAUUCCUUGGUGUAUGCUUUUCGCAGACGAUAUAGUGUUGAUAGAUGAAACUCAGGAAGGGGUAAAUGCAAAGCUUAACCUUUGGAGAGAAGUGUUGGAAUCUAAAGGUCUUCGCCUAAGCCGAUCAAAGACAGAAUAUAUGGAGUGCAAGUUCAGUGCAAAUGGAGGCCAAAACGAGUUAGGGGUGAGGAUCGGAGAUCAAGAAAUACUAAAGAGCGACCGUUUUCGUUACCUAGGAUCUAUCUUGCAAAAGAACGGAGAAUUAGAUGGAGAUCUCAACCAUAGAAUACAAGCUGGAUGGAUGAAGUGGAAGAGUGCAUCCGGCGUGUUAUGUGACCGCCGUAUGCCACUGAAGCUCAAGGGAAAAUUUUAUAAGGACGGCAAUAAGGCCGGCGAUGCUGUAUGGCACAGAAUGUUGGGCGGUGAAACAUCAAACACGUACACAAAAUGGGUGUAGCGGAGAUGAGGAUGCUUCGUUGGAUGUGUGGGCACACGAGAAAGGAUAAGAUUAGGAAUGAGGAUAUCCGGGGUAAAGUAGGAGUAGCCGAAAUUGAAGGAAAGAUGAGAGAAAAUCGGUUACGGUGGUUUGGACAUGUGCAAAGAAAGGCCUACUGACGCUCCGAUUAGAAGAUGCGACUAUGGGACAGAGGUUCAGGGCCGAAGGGGUAGAGGAAGACCUAGGAAAACUUUGGAAGAGACUCUAAGAAAAGACUUAGAGUACUUGGAUCUAACGAAGGACAUGACACAGGAUCGAGCACAAUGGCGUUCUAAGAUUCAUAUAGCCGAUCCCACUCAGUGACUUGGAUUUUCCAAGUCUCCAACCGAGAAGUUUUCCUCACUCGGAAAAUUAAGGGAACACUACCCCAACCUACAUGCUCCACUCAGAAAGCUUCAACAUACAAGCUUCAACAAAAGAAAAUUCAAAGAACUUAGCGAAGAAGGCUUUGGUGUAUUAACACAAUACGUUGAAAUGAAGGAAAGCUUAUUUAUUGAUAUCCCCGAUAAGCUACAAAUAUGUACAUAUACAUGAGUCAAAAUAAACACACAAGAGGGAGCCUUCACAAAGGUUGCUUAGGAGAAGUCUCAGCAGUCGGUAGAGCCCCAGAAAGAGAAGGCACCGGAGGGGGAUCAUUUGGAGCCUCAGUACUGGACAGAACCCUAGAAGGAGGAGGCAUCAGAGGUUGAUCAUUUGGAGCUUCAUUACGCGGUACAGCCCCAGAAGACGAAGGCAAUAAAUGCCUUUGGAACAAACCCACAAAUCUCUGAUGAUCAAGUAAAACCUGACCAUCAGUUUCCUUCAUCUGGUCAAGCUUCCUCUUCAUGUUUGUAGCAUAGUCAUGUGCGAGCCGGUGCAACUGUUUAUUCUCAUGCUUGAGCCCUCUAAUCUCCUGUUUGAGACUCAUCACUUCAGCCGCCAAUGAUUCAACUUGGCGGGUUCGAGCAAAUAGGCGUUGGGCCAUAUUAGACACAGAACCUGCACACUGAACACUGAGAGCCAGCGAAUCCUUAACAGCUAACUCAUCAGACCGUUUGGAAAGUAGUCUGUUAUCUUUGGGAGUGAGAAGGUUCCUGGCCACCACCGCAGCGGUCAUAUCAUUCUUCAUCACGGAAUCCCCAACGGUAAGAGGACCAGUAGGGGAGACGAAGGAUGGGCGCCAUAUGUUGUCUGGAGAAGGCGGGGCUGCCUCUUCAACAAGGUUCAAGUCAAAACGACGGUCGGAGGGGCCAGACAUUUUCAAAGGUGUUGAAGAGAGAAGAGGUCGGACAAAUCAAGAUCUUAGAAGUGCAAGAAUGAAGCUUCUACUGGUGGAGAUUCAAGUGUGCUUUGGAACUUAAUGCCAGCCCCUAUAAAAAUCUGCACUCGACGGAGCUUCAGAAAAUCGAAGAGGCGCCUGCUCAGAAAUCGAAGAGGCGUUUGCUUUCUCAAAAGCUGGGCUGCUUAGAGAUCACGAGGGUUGAUCUCAGAAAUCGAAGAGGCGUUUGCUUUCUCAAAAGUUGGGCUGCUCAAAGACCACGAAGGCCGAUCUCAGAAAAUCGAAGAGGCGCUCGCUUUCUCAAAAGCUGGGCUCCCCAGAGACCACGAGGGCCGAUCUCAGAAAUCGAAGAGGCACCUACUUUUCCAGCCUUGUCAGCACCUGUCACACGCACACUCAGCUUUGCGGAAAUUAUGGGCAUUCUGUCGAAGACUUCUGGGGAAGUAGAAAACACAUGAAUCUUACUGUUCAAUCACCCACUUCCCACACGCAACAAUAGCUCAUGGGUACCACAGAUAACUUUGCCAAAGUUCUCUGCCAAAGUUGAGCACGUGAAGCUUGCAGCUCCCACUACAUCGCUCUGACCAAGAAGGGUAAAAGAAUAGCAAAGAAACAGCACUAACAAAGUUUAGACCCAUAAAUUUUGAAGGUCUAGCUACCAUAUUAUUACCCACAAGGGUAAAGGAACAGUACCACUGCUGGAUAAUUGGAAAGUCCCUGUGUGUCAACCUCUGUGCUUCGUGGCAAGGUAGACUAGCAAACAUGCCCAACCUUUACUCACAUUCGAGAAAACACUCCCAAUAAGAUUGCUUGCUCCAAAAUCGAAGAGGCACCGUCCUCCGAAUCUCGAGAGCCAGACUCCCAACAUGACUACUUUCUUAAAAAUCGAAGAGAGGGUAAAGGAACAGUACCAUUGCUGGAUAAUUGGAAAGUCCCUGUGUGUCAACCUCUGUGCUUCGUGGCAAGGUAGACUAGCAAACAUGCCCAACCUUUACUCACAUUCGAGAAAACACUCCCAACAAGAUUGCUUGCUCCAAAAUCGAAGAGGCACCCGCCCUCCGAAUCUCGAGAGCCAGACUCCCAACAUGAUUACUUUCUCAAAAAUCGAAGAGACACUGCUCCCCGAAUCUUCGAGAGCCAGACCCCCAGCAUGAUUGCUUUCUCAAAAAUCGAUGAGGCAUCGUUCUCCGAAUCAAUCGAAGAGGCGCUCGCUUUCUCAAAAGCUGGGCUGCUCAGAGACCACGAGGGCCGAUCUCAGAAAUCGAAGAGGCACCUACUUUUCUAGCCUUGUCAGCACCUGUCACACGCACACUCAGCUUUGCAGAAAUUAUGGGCAUUCUGUCGAAGACUUCUGGUGAAGUAGAAAGCACAUGAAUCUUACUGUUCAAUCACCCACUUCCCACACGCAACAAUAGCUCAUGGGUACCACAGAUAACUUUGCCAAAGUUCUCUGCCAAAGUUGAGCACGUGAAGCUUGCAGCUCCCACUACAUCGCUCUGACCAAGAAAGGUAAAAGAAUAGCAAAGAAACAGCACUAACAAAGUUUAGACACAUAAAUUUUUGAAGGUCUAGCUACCAUAUUAUUACCCACAAGGGUAAAGGAACAGUACCACUGCUGGAUAAUUGGAAAGUCCCUGUGUGUCAACCUCUGUGCUUCGUGGCAAGGUAGACUAGCAAACAUGCCCAACCUUUACUCACAUUCGAGAAAACACUCCCAACAAGAUUGCUUGCUCCAAAAUCGAAGAGGCACCGUCCUCCGAAUCUCGAGAGCCAGACUCCCAACAUGACUACUUUCUCAAAAUCGAAGAGAGGGUAAAGGAACAGUACCAUUGCUGGAUAAUUGGAAAGUCCCUGUGUGUCAACCUUUGUGCUUCGUGGCAAGGUAGACUAGCAAACAUGCCCAACCUUUACUCACAUUCGAGACAACACUCCCAACAAGAUUGCUUGCUCCAAAAUCGAAGAGGCACCCGCCCUCCGAAUCUCGAGAGCCAGACUCCCAACAUGAUUACUUUCCUCAAAAAUCGAAGAGACACUGCUCUCCGAAUCUCGAGAGCCAGACCCCCAGCAUGAUUGCUUUCUCAAAAAUCGAAGAGGCAUCGUUCUCCGAAUCUCGAGAGCCAGAUACCACAGACCACUUUUUCAAAGUGCUCUGACAGAGUUAAAACAUGUGAAACUGGCAGCUCCCACUACCGUGCUAUGACCAAGCAGGGUAAAGGAAUAGCAUUACUACUUGUUGUUAGGGAGACUCCUAUAUAUGUCGACCUCCAUCCCCAACGGACAGGCAGACCUGCAAAAAUGCUCAACCCUUCAUCAUAUCUGAGAGGGCACUCCCAACGAAGCCUUUCGAAAUAUUCAGCUUUCUUUCCCCCCGAUAAUACCUCUGCAAACAAGCUAUACUACUAGAGCAAGAAUAUCUCAUAUCAUCAGGGUUAAAAGCAAGAGUAUCCCAUAUCAUGCUUUUUCCCUGUCUUUUCCUUUGGCCUUGUUUUUUACCUGCAAGACAAGGAGAAAGAGAGAGCAAUCAGUCAGCACUUGGAAUCAAGCUUCCAGCCAGGAACUGACUGCCUGGAACCCCUUACCUGAUUACUUACCUGGCAUUGCUCUCGAGUACUCAUCUUCAACAUCUUAUGUUUCCAGGGAAGAUUCCGCAUCUGCUUGAGGAACAGAUAGGGCAAGUGCGAAGGAUACAAGGAAGCAUGUGGAGACAAGCGUAACAGCACACGUGCCGAUACAUCCAUUACUCUGUCAAAAGCAAAAGUAUCCCAUAUCAGCAGGGUGGAACGUACUCUAGAUUUGAUGGACUUGUUUUGACCCUCAAAUUCUUCAGUCGGCCUUAUACUCUGGAGGAAACCAGAAAACCCUCCAGCUCAGUUCAAGAAUAAGCCUGUGGAAAGUUACUUCUUCAAAAGCAAAAGUAUCUCUCAUAUCAUCUCUUCUCAUUUUUUCUUCUCUUUAUCCUUCAUGCUGCUGCAAGAUGGGGAGAAGGUGAACAAUCAGUCGGAGCUCUGAUUGCUUACCUUGUCUGUCACCUCUUUCAGCAGACCCCCUAGCUCGGCGACUUGGGGGACUCCUACUACAUGGUUUGUAUCGCGCUUGACCAAGCCUGAAACUACAAGUAAGCUUCAAGUGAAAUUGAUACAUUACCUUGUGCAUCUCCACCAGUUAAAGAUACCACCCCUGGAUGGAGGAAGAGUACUUCCAGAGAAGAUGCCACAUCUACCUAUGAGACAGAUAAGGCAAGUCAAGACGACACCACACUCCGAUACUUAGAAGUUUCGUGAUUACGAGAUCAUUCUCCCACAAUAUUUCCUAAUGUCAUUUGUACUAAAUCAUUCACUUGUACUCACUAAAGGAGAGCUUGAACCUAUGUACUUGUGUAAACCCUUCACAAUUAAUGAGAACUCUUCUAUUCCGUGGACGUAGCCAAUCUGGGUGAACCACGUACAUCUUGUGUUUGCUUUCCUAUCUCUAUCCAUUUAUAUACUUAUCCACACUAAUGACCGGAGCAAUCUAGCGAAGAUCACAAAAAAGCGACCGUUUUCGCUACCUAGGAUCUAUCUUGCAAGAGAACGGAGAAUUAGAUGGAGAUCUCAACCAUAGAAUACGAGCUGGAUGGAUGAAGUGUAAGAAUGCAUCCGGCGUGUUGUGUGACCGUCGUAGGCCACUGAAGCUCAAGGGAAAAUUUUAUAGGACGGCAAUAAGGCCAGCGAUGUUGUAUGGCACAGAAGAAUGUUGGGUGGUGAAGCAUCAACACGUACACAAAAUGGGUGUAGCGGAGAUGAGGAUGCUUCGUGGGAUGUGUGGGCACACGAGAAAGGAUAAGAUUGGGAAUGAGGAUAUCCGAGGUAAAGUAGGAGUAGCCGAAAUUGUAGGAAAGAUGAGAGAAAAUCGGCUCCGGUGAUUUGGACAUGUGCAAAGAAGGCUGAAUGACGCUCCGGUUCGAAGAUGUGACUACGGGACAGAGGUUCAGGGUUGAAGGGGUAGAGGAAGACCUAGGAAAACUUUGGAAGAGACUAUAAGAAAAGACUUAGAGUACUUGGAUCUAACGGAGGACAUGACACAAAACCGAGCGCAAUGGCGUUCUAGGAUUCAUAUAGCCGACCCCACUUAGUGGGAAAAGGCUUUGUUGUUGUUGUUGUUGUAUUCAAUGAAGAUGCUUAAAGGAGACAGUAAUAUUAGCAAUGAAGGAAUUUAAUUGAUAACUAAAACUGCAAAACAAAAUGACUACAAUAGGUUCAAAACAGAAACUCGUCCGAUAGAUAUCUCAUCUUUAGGCAAUGCCUUGUUCCCUUUUUUUUUUUUUUUUUUUUUUUUUUUUUUUGUUGCAUGUCUUGUGAACUUCAUGUAAAUCAACAAAAUUGAUACCUUAACCAACAAUGGAGAGGUAAAAAGUUAAAAACAGAAGGAAUGUCUUCAGUUUUGUAAUGGAUUUUGCAAGUCAAAUUCUGUUCGAGAAUUUGCAACCCAGAAAGUCCCAGCAAUUAUUAACAAUCACAGAUAAGCACCGAAUGAAGGCCAAUCUAAUAAGCCAAAAUAUGUAGGGCACUAAAGAAAUUAUUGCCCAGUAACAAUGAUAGAUAAGCACAUGUGAAACUAAAGAAAAUUUUCAUUACUAUCAACUCCAAAAAAAAUUACCUAUGCAAUCCAAAAAAUGUUGAUACAGAGUUGGAGUAUCGAUGCCUGAAAUUGGUAUUUGAACCACCAACUACCUCCGUGAAUAUGCUUGUCACUUAAUGGUUUGGGUUGAAGUUGUGAAAGGAAAUGUAAUUUCUUAAAAGGAAGGAGAGAAUGCAGAGAAGAAUACAGAAUGGUUCACGUGGCCACCGCAAAACAGGUUAAUAAUCAAGCUUCACUAUGAAUGGAAAGAUUAAUAGAUGAUAAUUAAGAAGGCCUGAUACCCAAGCCGAAAUCAGAGAUAUCCUUUGUAAACAAAGAGAUUGAACAUUUCCUCUCAAAAAAUAACUUUUUUUUUUGUUUUGGGGGGGAGGUUGGGAAGGCUCAGAAAAAGACAUCCAAUAUAAUACUUAUUGCAUGCAAGGUAUGAAACAGCCUCCCCCCGAGUAAAAUCACAGAAAUAAAAGAAAUCGAAUCAAGAAAAAAGAUAAUUACACAAGAAUUACACCUUCACUAAGAAAAUAAAUUAUAAAAACGAAGACUCUGAGAAUAAUUGCCUGUGAUUUGCUGCCAAAAACAAAAAUAAUGUCGUAUACAUUAAGCCUGCCGAUUACUAAAAACAAAACAUUUUUCCAUGAGAAGAAGUAAGAACAUACCGAAACUUGUUUGCUAAUAGAUGAGAAAAAUUUAUAACUGAAACAUAUAGGAAAUUUAUUAGGAAAAGAUAAACAAAACACCUAAAUUAAGCAAUUAAAUGGAGUAUUACUUGAUAGAGCUGGAAAAUUACCCAGUUCCUCAGAGAGAGGAUCAAGAGUGAAUGAUGAGAGUGCAGAGAAACGAAUGAUUGAGAAAUUCAAGCUCUGAGCUCACAGUUGGGGCUUCCACUUUCCAACUGGGGAAGAAAUAACAGAGAAAACACAAGGCCAAUCCACCAAAAAUAUUAAUCAAAUGGGUUUCUUCUAAUUCAAAAUUUUGACCACCCAAAUUCCGAUGAAGCAAUAAUUGUUCAAAAUUCCAACAGAUUGAAGGAAAAAGUAAUAAAUUUUUUUAAAACAGUAAUAAUGAAGGAAAAAGAAAUUAAAGCUGCGAGCCAUUCUCUAAAUCUCAGGCACCAAUCCAAAUCACCAGUAAUUUGCACAUAAUGAUAAGAAUCUAGCAAUACUUCCAUUGUUUAAAACCCAAAUUCCAGAAAUCAUGAAAAAUGGAAACUUUAUAUGGAAAUUGAAGCUUUACCUGCAGAUCAGCAGCAGCAAACGAAAUUCAAGAAGUCACGAUUAUCGACGCGUGGGUAGCAUUCCACUGUGCCAAGGACGAAAAUGAACGGGGAAUGUAGAGCUGGCUGACGAAGACAGGAUUCGCGAAGCGCUCUGAUUUUUUUUUUCACGAGAAUGCGGAAUGAAGAGAAGCGAGUAGAGGAGGAAUCAUUUUAAGCGAUGAUCGACGCGUGGAAAUUGAGGGCAAAUCUGCCAUUUUGCUGUGAACGAAAGUGAAAAAAGGCACAAUCAAAGAGUAAUUUGAGGGCAUUCUAGCCACUUUAAUAAACAGUAGCUUUGUGUUUGAGAUUUAAUAUAGGUAUAUAUAGAGCCCUACAGAGCAACUCCACCCAUGGAGCCCUCCUCUCUGACAAUCUACUAUUGAAUUCACCUUUUUGAACAGUAACUGCCUUUAAUAAAUAGUAACUACCAUUAAUGAACAAUAAUUGUCAUUUGCAUCUCCACCCUUGGAGCCCUCCCCCCUGGCAAUAGGCAAUAAAAUAUUAAUUUUUUUUGUUUGUUUAAAUAAUACAAAAUAAAAUUAUUUGUAAUUUUGGAUAAGAUUUUUUAAAUCGUUCUCGUUGCGCCACGUGUCAUUUUAUAAAAAAAACAAUUAUUUAGCGAUGGAUUUCGAUAAGAUUUUUAUCCAAUGUCAUCGUGUCACAUGUCGUUAUCUUUUGAUAAUCUUUGACGAUAUCUUUCGAUCAGAUUUUAACUCGUUCAAAAUUGCGUCACGUGUCAUUAUUCGAAAAGAUAAUUAUUGGAGAUCGAUUUCGAUAAGAUUUUUAUCCAAUACGAUCUUGUCACGUUUCAUUAUCUUUCAUAAUAUUUGAGGAUAGAUUUCGAUCAGAUUUUUAACGAAUGACGGCAUGCCACGUGGCCUUAUCUACAAUCCAAUCCUUUCUGAAUCAUCCAUAUAAUCCACCAUCCAUCCUCACAAAUCUCACACCAAAUUUCUCAACAUUUCUAUCUCAUUAUUCAUAGUUUCUGCUUCUUCUUCACCAUCCAUCAUUACAAUGUCUUCUUCUUCAUCAAGGAUGAUGUGGGAAAUCGAUCAGCAAGAGGAAGAAUUGUUUAACCAAUCUGAAGGAAUGUUCAACCUUCAGAUAGCCGAAAAUGAGAUGGAUGAGGAUGAGGAGCGUAGAAGGAGAGACGACGAAACAAGAAUGGCCAGAGCCUCACAUUCCCGUUGAGUCAUCCAGACUGUUGCUCAGAUAUGCAUGCCCAACCGUUCAAGAAACCUUGGUAGAAGCAGGCAACGAUGGGGUGAAGAGCUAUUGGACGAUUACUUUGUCCAUAACAGUGCAUUUCCUGAUACGUACUUCAGACGUCGUUUUAGAAUGGAACGACAUUUGUUCAACAGAAUCAUGACUGAUGUUUACAACCAUGAUUCUUACUUUGUGCAAAAGAAUGAUGCUUGUGGUGUUAUGGGUUUCCUGCCUGAGCAAAAAAUCACUGUUGCGUUGCGGAUGCUUGCGUAUGGAGCAUCUGUAGACCAAGUGGAUGAGAUAACGAGGAUGGGGAAAUCAACCAUUCUUGAGGCCCUUAUGAGGUUUUGCGGAGCAGUCGAAUCUUUGUACACCGCAUAGUACCUCCGAAAACCUACUUGUAGGGACUUGCAAAGGCUUCUGAAGAAGGGCGAGAUGCGAGGUUUUCCUGGGAUGAUAGGAAGCAUCAAUUGUAUGCACUGGACGUGGAAAAAUUGUCCAAGUGCAUGGCAAGGCGCAUAUGGGGACAUAAAAGGAUCAAAAACUAUCAUUUUGGAGGCAGUGGCAUCUUUUGAUACAUGGAUAUGGCACGCCUUUUUCGGGGUUCCGGGGGCUCAAAAUGAUCUCAACGUCCUUGCCCAAUCCCCAGCGUUCAACGACAUCCUGCAAGGAAAGGCACCAAAAGUCACGUACAUCGUCAACGGACGUAGGUACGACGGGCCAUACUAUCUAGCUGACGGCAUUUACCCACGGUGGGAAACAUUUGUCAAAACAGUGCCACGUCCGCGAAGUGCAAAGGAAAAACACUUUGCAAGCUGUCAAAAGGGGUGCAGGAAGGAUGUGGAGCGUUGUUUUGGUAUCCUUCAAGCUCGUUGGGCGAUCGUCAGGGGUGCUGCCAGAAUGUUCGAUGUAGAGUCACUUUGAUCCAUCAUGAUGACAUGCGUCAUUCUUCACAAUAUGAUUGUGGAAGAUGAGUUCGAUUAUGAUGCGGUUGAUGAAUAUGAGCCAGAGCCAGACACGAUGAACAAUUCAAGAACACGGAUAUAUUGUGCGCAUGAUGCCACCAAAGAACCCGUGCAACAUGAGCCAUUAGAAAGGGAUGAACGUUACAAUGAAAUGGUCAUUCAACGAUAUACUGCACUUCAAAUGUCAUCUAUGCACAAUGAUCGGCAAAUUGACUUGAUAGAGCACCAGUGGACAUUAAAACAAGCUGAAGAUACUUAAGUUUAUUUAGUAUGUUUGUUUGUAUUUGGUAUGUUUAUGUAAUUUUAUUUGGUGUGUUUUUUGUAGUGAGUUUUUUAUUAUUUCGUAUGUUUAUGUAAUUUUAUUUGGUGUGUUUAUGUAAUUCCAAUUGGUAAGAAAAUAUGAAAUUGUGGUGUAAGGUAGAUGGAGAAGAAGUGGUAUUUAUAGAAAAGUAAAAACAAUUUUUUACAAAUUUUUUUUUUUAGAUUUUUUACAAUUUUUUCGGAUUUUUUCCAUUUUUUUUAAUUUUUUUUUCAAAUAAUUAAUCUCUGCCGUUGGAUUUAAAAAAAAUUGAAUUCCAACACUCCAGAUUGUGCCACGUGUCACAACGGUAAUUUUUCUUAAUUUUAAAACUAUUUUUUCUUUAUUUAUAAAGCAUAUUAAUAUCGACCGUUGAUCUGAAAUCGAACGGUUGAUAUUAAAUAAGAUUUGUUUUAUUUUUUUUACCGUUGAGAUCCAACAGUCCAAAUGAAAGAGCCGUUGAGAUCGAACGGACCGUGGGAAACCACGUGGCUUCCCAAUGGUAACUGAGACAACUGCAAAAGUGGGCUGCUUUUCUGAAAAGCUGUCAGGCGACGCGCCCCCACGCGCGAGUGGGGUGCACGCGCCUGACAAAAAAAAAAAAAAUGGGUGAAGAGCUCGGGCUCACGGCUGUCACAAAUUGACAGGCCUUCUGCUCGGGCCUUCUCCACGAGCUCGGGCUCUUCAAGACUGGAGCUGAUUGACUAGCCCUCGGGCCUUUCUUUUCCCCUGUCCCCCGGCCUACAUGCAUGGGUGGAGUUGCUCUAAGAGAAGGGAUUUCCAUUCUUGUUUUUUUAAAUGUGGACACCUUUUUUACUGUUAGAUUUGACUUUAACGAAAUUUUGUGGUUGAGAUUAAAUCACAAACCACAGAAUCUCAACCAUAGAAUUUCAUUAAAGCUAUAUUUAACGAUCAAUAGGGUGUUCCCAUUUUUUUUGAAAAAUAGGAAUCCCUUCCCUUAAGGCUUUCAGUAUAUUAUAUACACUAAAACUCAAUUGAUGAACACUGUUCAUUAACAGUGAUUUUACGUUUUAGCCCCUGUUUUGCUGUUUGUUUGCCCUUUUAUUUUUCGAUCUUAACAGUAAAAUGACAGUUUUGCCCGUUCUUUCCACGCGUCAGUCAUCGUUGAGCUCUUCACUUCAAGAGUCUUCUUUUAGGUUUAGCCUUUUCUUUGCACUGGUGAUUCUCUGAUUUCGUCUCUUCGUCUCGCCCUCUGUUUUUUCUCAAAUCCUCCAUUCCUCUCAAAUAUUCCGUUCUUUAUUUCACAAAAUAUUCAGGAGAAAGUUCCUGAUUUUCGUGUUUUAAGGGAUAUAAUGAUUUGGUGUUGUUUAUCUCAAACAGCGGGCUUGCAGGUAAAAUGUUAAGCUUUAUGUCCAAAGCAAUCUUUCUCUGCAUGCUGACUGUGUGUUGAUUUGAAGGGGUGGUUUAGUGAAUGGGUGCUUCUUAUUUUUGGCCUUUCUCUAUUAUCAUAUAUGUUUCUCUAUUCUCAGGUAUCAGAUCAUUCGAAACAAAAACAUUUUAACGUUAUUUUUGCAGGUUAAUGUUGGGUUUGAGUCCAACACGAUAUACACUUGAACAGAGUAGAGUAGAAGACAGUAUGCAAACAUGAUUUAGGACACAGUUUACCUAAUUGUAAACACUCUGUGAAAUAUUAUUAGUUAUGAACAUCCAAUUUGAAUCCCCCACAUGCUAAAUUAGGUACCAUUAAAUUAGUUUUAUGUCUUUUUUUUAUUUGAAAGCUGCUUCUUAUUUCUGUCUCUAUUAAGAUUCUGGGGUGUGCUUUGGAUUUGCUACAUAUGGUCAUAUUUUUUGUCAUUGGCUUUUUGUUCUGCUUAGUUUUUUUUAAUCGAGUGUUUUAUCUGGUAUUUCAUUUUGUUUUGUUUAUUUGUUUCCUUUUUAUGUUUAAAUGUUUUUUGUUCUUUCUAAAUUUGGGCUUCUGGGAAAUUCUUGCUCACUGUUUGGAUUCCGAGAAAAUUUAGGGGAUGUCCAGUAAUAUUCACAUCCUGAAAACUCAGUGAAAAUAGAUACCAAUUUAUGUGCAGCUGAAAAUUUUGUUAUCUGAUUCUGUUCUAAAUAACAUGAUUUAUUUGUUUUUUAAACUUUUAAUUAUUUCGUAUUUAUUUUGUGAUUGCAGAUGUUUAAAUGAUGGAGAGUUUCGCAAAGCUGUUACUCGGAGGAGACAUGUCUAGAUGAGGGAAAGGUGUCUCCACUGCCCUUGCUAUCUCAAAUGCCAUCACCAAUCUCUCUGGUUAGUCACAUUCCUCUUGGAAUAUGCAUAUUCUUAUGUGAUGUUGGCUGAUACCUUGGUGAGUCAACUUAAUAAAAAAUGUGAGAUGGACAAAUUGAAAAGUCUAUUUUCUUCUCAUAUGCAUCCUUUAACAUAUGUCAGUUUUAAUUAUUGAUGAGCAAUUGAAAAUUUAGUUUUUCUUCUCAUGGUACACUUACAUUGGUAGUUCAACAUAUGUUUGUUUAACAUAUCUUAUUAAAUGCAUUUGAGAAUCGAUUGAAGAAACUCAGUUCUUUUAGCAAUUAAGAACAAGGUAAACAUAGUUGUAAAUAUGUGUAAAUAAGAUAGGAAUUUUGAUGAAUUUAUGUUUUUUCCUCCGUUUUUCAGUGUUUUCAGGCAUUGAAGCUAAAUAUGGAGAGGGUUUUGAGACUUUUAGACCUAUUGGACCUCUCAAGGUUUGCGUGGUAAGGAGUUUAUGGAGUUAUACGCAUAGUAGGCAUUAUAUUUUAUGUUCUGUUGAAUUUAAUUUAAUGGUUAUAUUUUAUGCUCCUAUGAGUUAUUACUGUUAUGUUUACUCUGAGUAGGAUUUGUUGAACGACAAACUGCAAGGAGGUUUUCUUAAACGAAUAUGAUAUGCUAUGAAACCGAAUGAAGCUUACUGUCUUCUAUUCUCUUUUGUUAAUUUCGUGGUAAGUUUCUAUAACACUGAUUAGUUAUGUCUUCGAGGUUCUAAUGGCUAGAUAUGCUAAUGUAAUGAACUAUGGAAUAUUGUAAUAGUUUAUGGUCAAUGUGAUCCCAUAUCUGUUUGAUUGAAAUAUUGUUCUAUAACAGGUUUAAACUUUGUUUUUCCAAUACCUUAUCACAAAAUAAUUCCACCUUGGACAAAUUACAAGGUAUGCUGCAACAUGUGCUUUGAUUAAUUGCAUUCAAAUUGAUACUGCUUAAGAAUGCAUUUGAACAUGUUGAAUUUCACGCCCGCAGCAUCGCGCGGGCAAUAUUGCUAGUAUAAUAUAUAAUUGGGUGAUAAAGAGAGUAGGUGAAAGAACACAAUUUGCUCUUAAAAAUGUUGUUUUUAAGAACGAGUGAUUUUUCUUUUCUGACUCUUUCUGUCUAACCCAAAAGCAUACUGGUAAUAGGGUCCAGUAAGAAAAUUAUUUUUAGAAAUUAAACAUGAAAAAAUACAAAAUUUACAAUUUCGAAUUAUACAAAAAAGACAAAAAAAGCGCAAAAUAAAAAGAGCAGGACAGAAAAACAGAAACAAAAGAAAGGAGACACUAAGAAUACAAAUAGCGUGAUUUGAGCCCUCAAUUUUGGCAGGCAACAUGAUUGUUAACGCAUGAUUGUGAACCCAUCCAUUGAAGAAAGAAGCAUCAUAAUACACAAGAGUCAAGACUGGGCUUGGUUUAUAUAAUGAAUAAUGUUAGGGAGAUCAAAUUUUUUAAACUAAAUUUGUAAAUUAAAUGAUGUAGUUAUAGAUGAUUGGGUUAUUACUAAGUGUCGAUUAAUAUGUUUAUUUCUUAUUGGUGACAUAUCAUUUGGUUUAAAAAUUUGGUCUCCCUAGCAUUAUCCUUAUAUAAUUAAUCAAUAAUAUUCCAUAACAAGAGCUAGGUCCAUAUAUUACGAGGUUAUAAAAUAUGCUAGGUGCUAGUCGAGAGGCGGGCGGGGCCUAAGCAGAUUUAAGUAAAUUUAUUAUAUAUUGUAUAAAUAAAUGCCUUUUUAUACUUAAAAUGACACACAAUUGUAUCGAAAUAUAUAAAUUGCAAAAUAAAAUGACAUAUAGAUUAUAAAUUACUAGAACAUAAUGAACAAUCAUAUAAUGAGGGUUUAUCCAAAUAUUUAUUGGAAAACAAAAAACAAAAUGAGUGUUAUCGAUUUUCUGUCUAAAUGAAAGUUGCGGGCUAGGCAGGUUUAAGUGGGUUAGGCGGACGCCUAAGCAAGUCUAGAGCACUUUCUUAAUUUUUAAAUGAUUAGGGACUAAUUAGGGUGGUGGACAACUGCCUAGCGCUAGACAUGGGUUUUUAGAACAGUAAUUACUUGUUCUCAUAGAUCUCUGGGUUCAAGAAAAUUAUGAUCACCUAUUGUUCGAUCUUAAUACCGUCGGUAAGCGGUUAUUUAACCAUUUUUUAUAUUGAGUAAUUUUCCUGGAUCCUGAAAUCUAGAAGAACAAAACUCUUAUGUCACAUGGAUAAACAUAAUCAGGCAUAAGAAAAAGGUUGAAGAAUUCAUAAGUCAUAUAGGGGGCGUUUGUUUGCCCUCACUAAGUAUCACUGGACUAACUAUUAGUCCAGUCCCGUGUUUCUUCUGUAGAGGGAUUAUGUUUCAUGAGACUAAAGGGGAGUCACACGGACAAACUCCUUCACUAGGAGUUCUUAGCGAGAUCCCCCAAUGCCCAUGGGAUUGCUAAGACCUCGUAUACUCCAUCUUUGUAUGCUAUGUCUCAUCCUCUCUAUGCUCUCUAUUAUCUUGAGCACCAUCACACCACAACUCACCAACUCCAGUGAGAUCACACCACCAACCCACCACCACUUUCUCCCUCUCUCUUCACAUGAACCCAAAAUUUCGAACUGAGGAAGAUCCCGUUCUUACAGUAAUUCGUCCAGCUCUAGCUGUCUGCUUCGCUUCGCUGCACUUCAAACUCGACCUUGGACUCGUCUGAUUCGCUUUGAACUCGACCUCGUAUUUGUCGACUUUACGCAAUUGACGAGAUCUUGUGAACUUGAUGAUGGGUGAGCCACCCAGUGCACUUGAAGGAAUAUGGGAGGCCAAGAACGCCAAAGCCUACGACGGCAAUGAAGACGUUGGCUGGAUUGGGAUGACAGCGACGUGUUCCACAUCAAGGGCAGCGGCUUGGGAUUCUUGUUUUCAUUUGGUUUUGAUUUAAAUUAGGUUUUGAUUUCGAAUUGGGUUUGAUGUGAUCUGGUAUUGGCAUUUGAUUUGCUCUGUAAUUGUUUGAAUGUGUGGAAUAAAUUUUGGGGAAAGAGGAAGAAAAUUUAGAAAAAGAAAAAUAGACUAAAUAAUAAAAUAUUAAUAUAUAUUAGAUUAAAUAAUAUCAUAUUAGAAUUUAUUAUUAUCCUACUUCUUGGUCCGACACUGCACCAAACGCUUUACUAAGCUAAUCCAACUUAGUCUAGUCUAAGUCAAUCCAGCUUAGUUCCUGAAGUUAGUCUAGUCCAAGACAAUCCGGUGCAACAAACACAUUCAUAGAGUAAUUAUAGGGAUACUAAAUUUGUAAAUAAAAUUUUGUAAACUAAAUGACAUGGAAGUUGAUCGUUGAAUUAUUACUUAAACGUUAAUAAAUGUACUCAUUAUCACUAAAGACACGUUAUUUAAUUUGUAAAUUUUAUUUAUAAAUCUAAAGCAUUACCCAAACUCAUAAUACAAAUAGCUACUUUGAGAGAAGAAAAGAUGGAGAGUGAUAUGAUUGCAUUCUUUUUUAAAGCAACUUCUGAAGAUUCCAUAAUAAACUAUUAUUAUAUAUGAAGAUGUGCCGUGGUAAAAGAGAGGAAAAAAUGAAUGGAAAGUUUAUCCAAAAGAUUCUUGACCGUGAUUACAACUAUUUAACUUUUGUAAAUUUUCAUGGACCGAGAUCCAAGAAAAGAUGGAGAGUGAGAUUGGCAUUCUUUUUUGUAAAGGGAUUUUUUUUCCGAUCCCUUCCAUCUAAUUCACCUGAGUCAACCAUUUGAGUUCUUGAAAUUUAUUUAAACAACUAAAAUUAUUAUAACUUUUAAUGAAGCCCCUAUUUGUAGUCGUUAAAUCAAAUUUUAAAGAUUCGAAUUAGUGAAUUAGGUGGAUUAGGUGGAAGGGAUCCGAAGAAUAUCAAUUUCCUUCUUUUUCAACACAACUUUUGUUGAGUCCAUAAUAAACUAUUAUAUGAAGAAAGAAUACUAAAAAGACUCUCUCAAAAUCGAAACUUUUUGCGAACUUUUUAGCAUCUCAUGUUUUUGAGAUUAAUAACUAACAUUAUCUGAGAUUUAUUAAGUUUUCACAAAAUUCCCUUACGUAUGAGAUAUUACGCUAACAACACUUUAGUGUAAUGUCUCAAACGUAAUGGGACCUUGUAAAAUUUGAUUAACUUCGACAGUAUUAGUAUAUUUUUAUGUAAAUAUUAUAAAAUAUUAUGUUAAAUACAUUAAAUAACAGAUAGUCUUUAAGAGAGAUUUCUUACAUCUUUCUAAUGGAUACGGACGGUGGAAAAAGAUCAUUCCAUAAUUAAAUAUUGUGCUGUUGAUUACGCGUCUCUCCAUUUGACUAAGUUCCUUUUCACAUUCUUCCCUAAAUAAAAUGGUUCACUUUUCACAUUAUUACAAUAUUUAUAUUUAUAUUUUUACAAAAGGGAUUCGUCUAAAUUAAAUUUUUCGAAAAAUUUCGUAUAGUGAGUGAAAGUGAAACACUCCCUUUGUUAUGAUUAUGACAAUAUUUAUAUUUUUACAAAAGGGAUUUAUCUAAAUUAAAAUUUUCAAAAUUCCGAACAAGAUUUGAACUUUCGUGUAUAUGAAUAUAUGGAGUAAAUUGAUCAUGGCUGAAAAUAUGGCAGUGGUUGUGUUUGUGUUGCCUAACGGAUGAUAUUGAAAUACCUAAACACAAGUCAAGCUCCUUCAGUUAACAAAAACAGAAGUUUAUAAUAUGAUAAUGUUGGCGCACGGACUUGAGAAACAACAUAGGCCGGGAAUGUGCACAAAAAGUAAGAGAGAGGUAAAGAGGAAAGAAACGAACAUGAAAGAACAAAGACUAUCGAAUACAUUAUAAAACAAUGACUUCUUGGUAGUCAUUACAUCUCAACCAUCAAUAAUGCAUUAAUUUUGGUUGAAAUGUAGAAGUAUUUGAGAAGUAGCAUGACAACAACCACAUAAUAAACAAAAGUGGACGCAAAUGUGAAAGGAUAAUUAAAAACAAUUAUUCAAGAUGGGCGGUAGUUGAUUCAGCCAUUUAGAAGAUUCAAACCUAGAAUCAUUAUUGUAUUAACUAUUAACAGGUGCUAUAAUAUAGUUCUUAGGGAUUUCAAGGAGGCAUAUGGGGGACUACAUAAUGUGCAAUAGGAUUAAACUUUUUUUGUUACUAGGCAAAUGAACCAUAUUGAAAAAAGUUGAGGUUUAACCAUAAAAUUAAUUGACGAUAUAAAAAGUAGCUCAACCUCUUAUAAGCGUUUGCAAGAUUUCUCUUUUGACCUAUACAAGACUCUUUUACUUUCACAUCCUCGAACAUAUAAUACACCCAAAUGGAUGCCAAUAUAUAAACAUUGUUUUGAAAGGACAAGGGAGCUAACAGUGUCUUUUUAUAUGACUUGGACUUGGAGUACGGGCUGCAAAUUGCAUGCAAUUGCAACGAGAGCCAAAGAUAAUUGCCUUGUCCUUCAAAUUUGUUGGUAAAUUGGGGAUUGCACGAAGAUUUUCGCACUAAUCUGAAUACAGUGUUUCAAGCUUUUAAAGACCACUGAAGCUUUGAAAACUCUGUUGAUUUUACUUCCCAAGUAAGUGACAUAAAACUAAAUUGGGCAGUUGCAUGACAACAACCACUUAAUAAUCAAAAGUGAUUCGAAAAAGACCGAAAGUGAGAUGACCGCAUUCUUUUUCAGACAACUUUGGUAGAUUCCAGAAUAAACUAUUAUACAUGAAGAUGGGCGGUGGUAAUUGUCCUUUUGAUUAAAGUUUUUUGAGUCGAAAAUCAUUUUUCUAUAAUUAAUUCUUAACUAGAAAUUUGUACCAGUACACCGUUGUGGGACUGAAAAUCUUAUGAAAUAUUUUAUAACUUUAAUUUUCAUAAAUAAUGUGCGAGUGAAAAACAAAAAAUUACGAAUGGUAAUGCAAUUUAUAUGUAACCUUAUCAUGAACGGAACAAAUUUAGAUACUAAAAGAAAAAUUAAAAAUCUAUUUUUUCAAAGUGCGAAGAGAUAAUUGUUUAUUAAAAAAGUUGGACCAAUGAUAACUGCAUAAAUUACAAAUGCAAUAUUAAGAGUAUACCAGUCAAACUAAGCUUGCUACAGGCUAAACAAUGUUGAAAAACAUCAUUAGCUUUUUCAAGUGUUAUAUGCAAUGAAUGUAAUUAGCACGAAACUAGCACGAAACUGCAGAGGCUUUCGAUCCAUUAUAAUAUAAAAUAAAUAAUAAUAUUUACGUAUAAAAUAUGAUAUGAUUAUAUGAAAGUAACGACCCAAAUCUUAUUGGAGCUAAUUAACUAAUGUAUGCUCAUCAGGCAGCUGGAUUCCUUGGCAAGUGUUUAACCCCUACUUUCUUCACGCUCACAGAAUCACCAUUUGCAAAGUCAAUCGGCCUCACACCAAUAAAAACUUAAUCCCCGGCUAGUAAACUGAUCAGCUUAUCGUCCGAUAUAUGUCACUGCAAAGAUAAUCACCUUGUCUUUCAAAUUUGUUGGUAAAUUGGGGAUUGCGAGAAGAUUUUCGCACUAAUCCAAAUAUAUUGUUUCGAGCUUUGAAUGACCACUGAAGCUUUGAAAAGUCUGAUGGUUUUGUUAGGUCAUGUGUAUGACUAACGUUAAUGAUUUUCAACUUCCCAAGCAACUGUUACACAACUAAAUUUAAAAUCCAAGAGGAGGAUAUGAUCAGAGAAGAAAGAAAUGCAAUCCACUAAUAAUCAACAUCGAUAUUGUCUUCAACUUAAUCAUGAAUAAGUUUUAAGGCACAAAAGACCUCAUGCUUUUGUAGUUGAGCCAUUUAAUGUAAGGAGAAUCACAAUGUUAGUUAACCACAUCACAGUACAAAAGCACUAAAAGCGUCCAAGUGAAAGUGAAAGUGCUUUCUUCUCAUGUAGUUUCAUUUAACUUAAUUUUCCACAAUGGUAAUUAUGUUUCAAUGGUUCUGUUUUCACAUGCCAGUCGGUCAGUCACAUACUCAACUCCUUAAUGUUCGGGCUCAAUGGCUCGAAGAGAGCUUCCACUUCACUCUGAUUCACCUCCUCUAACUUUGACGGAUUCCACUUCGGAUUCUGCAUUGACAAGAAACAGAAGCCAGAGAUAAAGAUUCGUUGAUAUACGGAAAGUAAGAUGAUUAUACAACCGUAGGUCUAGUAGAGGCUGUAAUGGUUUAUGUUGCAGCAACUGCGUCAGCAAGUGAUUUUAUAGCAAGGAAUCUUGAGCAUAAUUAACGAACCUGAUCCUUGUCCACCAAAACUGCCGUACACCUUCAGCAAAAUCAUUCCGUAAAGACGAUCUUAUAGCAACGUGAUAUUCAGUUUCAUCACACCAGUUAACUGGUAUUGGUCAAGUAAAGCACAUGUUACUUUCUGAAAAUUUGAAAUACUACAACGCAAAACCUAUCAAAAGGAUGCAACCAUGUGAUGCAAGAAACGAAAAGGUACAAAGUCCAGACUCACUCUGGAUAAUUGAUUGUCAUUUUUCCCAAGCACGGAUGCAACUUUAGCGAAAUAAUUUUGUGUCAAAAAAGUGAAAACAGAGCACCCUUUCCAAGACCUUAAAGAGCUUCGUUAGCCCACUCACCACUGCAAUACAAACAAUUUAUACAAAAUACUUGACAGCGACAUACAAGCUGCUCAAUAGACAAAUGGCAUUAAAAAACUUACCAGUAGCAUCUGAACUCUGAUGCUGCUUUUUAAGUUCAUCAAUUGUCUCAAGAACCAACUUAUCUGCACCAAAUGCUGAAGUUAUUUGAGGUAAAAGAGUCUUGAGUUGCGCUUCAGAAUCUGGGUAGCUGGUGAAUUUCACCACAAUUGUUUCAAUGUCCUGAUGGGGAUCCUGGGAACUGAUUCAACAAUGGAGUUGCUUUUAUCUCAAGAAACGCAUUGGACAAUGUGAUGAUGGCAACUAAAGUUAAACCCACUGAAGCAUUGGAAAUUGCGUCUGAGGAUAGAAAAGGCAUACCUGCAGAUACUCCUCCCAGACUCUUUGCCUCUAUAUGUGAAAACCCAUCUGGGAACAAACCAAUUCCAUUCUCUGGCAUAGCAAGAACAGUCCUCAGAAAUGUAUCCAUACAAAGUUUGACACACAAAAUUAAAAAAGCCAUUGCAAUGUAAUUGACAACAUUGACAAUCUCUGUCUGACCGGGCAAUAAUGCCUCUGUAAUGAUCCGGUAGCGACUGUGACCUGAUAGGCCAAUACCAAAGCCCACUGUUAUGCCAUCCAUGAAGCUUAUAUGGGCUUCUUGUACUCGGAGAUAUUGCAUAUUAGAGAAUACUCAGCAGUGAAUACCUGAAAAACGUGCAGCACAAAUAUCAUAUCGGUAGCCUCUCAAAUCUUAAGAAAACUACAAAUGGUAGCUUAGAAAAGAAAUGAAUCCUCUCCAACCAAUACAAAUCAUAUUACCCAAGUUCAAGCAAAAUCAAGACUAAACAAAUGACCAGAUGUUGUAGGUUGCCAGAGAAUGUCAAACAUGAAAUUACAAAAGAAAAAAAUAAUCGUAUGUAUUGAACAUUAAUAAAUACAUGCUGAAAGCACAAUCUUAGCCGCAAUUUAUGACAUUUAUACAAGAUUAAAUCGCCAAAGAAAUUAAAGAAAUUGCAGAGCUCAUAUAAGUGAUGUUCACUAUGAACUUUUAGGCUUAUCAACAAAUACACCAUAACGAUUCUAAUGCAUGAAUUUUGUUAAAGGGGGCUUGCUUGCUUGUAUUAAGGCUUAAUCAUCAAUGAUUUUGCAAGGGUCAAUCGUAUUGCUAGUUGUAAAUCUAUUCACUAUGAAAAUUACCAAAAUUACAUCUAAUAUGGUAGUGAAGGAAGUCAUCUUACAUUAUCUGGAAUUUAGAAAACUGUGUAAGGUUAUAAUAUAUGGUUACAAGGACACAAUUAGACCUCAAUCAUAUUCGGUGGUUGGUUUUUGGCCGUGAUCUGCUUCACAUCACCGCCUGCAGGUAAACUAAAUCUGGGUUACUACAUAUCAAUGAAUCAACGUGCCAACUUAACGGACACCAUCUAUCUCUAUAUGGCAAAAAAAACAACACAAAAAGGAACAUGAAGUGAAACAAUAAACAACAUGACAUGAAACAGCACGAACAUCAAAGACCAACAAUCUAUCACGUAAGCACCUAAACAAGAAACAACUUUAGUUCAAAGCAAAGCGUAAUGUAGAAACCUUCGGCACAACAGGUGUGUUUUUGUCCUUUCGAGUUUCGGCAACAACCACUUUAAUAUCCUUUCCUGCAUUUACCAUGAUUGGUCACUCUUAAAACCUUAACUCCGCCGUGUAAGUUUAUCUUACAUUGCCGGUCCCAAGCCCGGAUAAAGGAGGAGGGGGAGGGCGUCAGGUAGUCGACAGCCGGCACUCCAUGAUUACGUCGAAUCCUUACGAAAAUGAAUCCAGAACGAAAUCGCGCUAAAGCUAGGGCGUCACCCGUAAGUGGCGCGCUGUGUGGCCCGAGCACAGUGAUAAGUGAGCAAGGGUCGCUAUAUCUCCAUCGGCACCCGGAUGCAGUGUUAAAUGAGCAAGGGGGCUAUAGAAACUUCUUUUCGAACGACUCCACUCAAAGUUGUUUGGGAGCAUAUGCUCCUAUCAACUUUACACGGGACACACAAAAGAAGUACUUUGAUCCUAUUAGACGGGGAAGGGUGAAGAAGCUAGGACAGAAGGGUAGAGUUCAAGAGAGCAAAAUGCGUUUAGGAACGUGGAAUAUAGGAACCUUGACGGGAAAAUCUAUGGAAGUAGUAGCAGUUAUGGUGAGGAGAAGGAUAAAUAUUAUGUGCCUACAAGAAACUAAGUGGGUUGGGCGUAAGGCAAAGGAUCUAGAAAACUCAGGGUUUAAACUAUGGUAUUCGGGCACAAAUAGAACGAGAAACGGUGUUGGCAUCAUCGUGGACAAGACCUUGACACAAGAUGUUGUAGAUGUUAAGAGGGUAGGAGAUAGAAUCAUGUCAAUCAAGAUUGUAAUAGGACAAGAACUUAUCAAUGUGAUUAGUGCGUACGCACCUCAAGUAGGGUUGGAUACGAGUUCGAAGGAGAAAUUUUGGGAAGACCUUGGAGACUUGGUGCAAGGAAUUGCUCAGACGGAGAAGUUAUUUAUAGGAGGAGAUUUAAAUGGACACGUGGGCAGGGAGACAGACAACUAUGGAGGUUUUUAUGGUGGCCAUGGUUUUGGGGAGAGAAAUGAGGAUGGGGAAGCUAUCUUGAAUUUUGCAAUGGCAUAUGAUCUCUUCUUAGCCAACACCUUCUUUAAGAAGAGAGAAGAACAUGUGAUCACCUACAAGAGUGGGUCGUCAAAAACACAAAUAGAUUUUCUCCUAAUGAGGAAAGGGGAUCGUAUAACUUGUAAGGAUUGCAAAGUUAUACCAGGAGAGAGCGUGGCUAAUCAACAUCGCUUGUUGGUGAUGGAUGUAAAUAUCAAAAGAGUGAGAAAAAAGAACAAGACUUGGAAGUGCCCAAGGACUAGAUGGUGGAAUCUAAAAGAAGAAAAACAAGCCAUUUUCAAAGAGAAAGUAAUCACCCAGUGUGUGUGGGAUAGAGAGGGGGAAGCUAACCAAAUGUGGGAUUCCAUGGCUAGUUGUAUCCGAAAAGUAGCAAAAGAGGUAUUAGGAGAGUCCAAGGGCUUUGCCCCACACCAAAAGGAAUCUUGGUGGUGGAAUGAGGAGGUACAAACAAAGGUGAAGGCUAAGAAGGAAUGUUGUAAAGCCUUAUACAAGGAUAGGACCGAUGAAAAUGGUGAAAGGUAUAGAAAAGCGAAGCAAGAGGCGAAGAAAGCUGUGAGAGAAGCUAAGUUAGCGGCUUAUGACGAUAUGUAUAAGCGACUAGAUACCAAAGAAGGAGAGUUGGAUAUCUAUAAACUAGCUAGAGCAAGGGAAAAGAAAGACAAGGGACCUAAACCAAGUGAGGUGCAUCAAGGAUGAGGAUGGAAAGGUUCUUGCUACAGAGAACGCGGUUAAAGACAGAUGGAAAGGUUAUUUUCAUAAUCUUUUCAAUGAAGGACAUGAAAGGAGUGCUUCUUUAGGGGAGUUGAGUAACUCAGAAGAGUGUAGAAACUACUCUUUUUUAUCGUAGAAUUCGGAAGGAAGAAGUGGUUGUAGCUUUGAAGAAGAUGAAGCAUAGAAAAGCAGUAGACCUAGACGAUAUACCAAUUGAAGUGUGGAAAGUUUUGGGAGAGACAGGUAUAACAUGGCUCACUGACCUUUUCAAUAGGAUUUUGAAAACGAAGAAGAUGCCAAAUGAGUGGCGAACGAGCACUUUGGUGCCUAUCUACAAGAAUAAGGGUGAUGUACAAAAUUGCAUGAACUAUAGGGGUAUUAAGCUAAUGAGUCAUACAAUGAAGCUCUGGGAGAGAGUCAUUGAGCAUAGAUUGAGGCAAGAGACACGGGUUUCGGACAACCAAUUCGGGUUCAUGCCAGGGCGCUCAACCAUGGAGGCAAUCUAUCUCUUACGAAGAUUGAUGGAAAGAUAUAGAGAUGGGAAAAAGGAUUUACACAUGGUCUUUAUAGAUUUGGAAAAAGCGUAUGAUAGGGUCCCAAGAGACAUUCUUUGGAGGAUUUUAGAGAAGAAAGGAGUACGAGUAGCAUAUAUCCAAGCUAUACAGGAUAUGUAUGAAGGAGCAAAGACUGCCGUAAGAACUCAUGAAGGACAAACCGAAAGCUUUCCCAUAACUGUAGGAUUACAUCAAGGCUCAUCCUUAAGUCCUUACCUUUUUGCGUUGGUAAUGGAUGAGUUAACAGGACAUAUUCAAGAUGAUAUUCCUUGGUGUAUGCUUUUCGCAGACGAUAUAGUGUUGAUAGAUGAAACUCAGGAAGGGGUAAAUGCAAAGCUUAACCUUUGGAGAGAAGUGUUGGAAUCUAAAGGUCUUCGCCUAAGCCGAUCAAAGACAGAAUAUAUGGAGUGCAAGUUCAGUGCAAAUGGAGGCCAAAACGAGUUAGGGGUGAGGAUCGGAGAUCAAGAAAUACCAAAGAGCGACCGUUUUCGUUACCUAGGAUCUAUCUUGCAAAAGAACGGAGAAUUAGAUGGAGAUCUCAACCAUAGAAUACAAGCUGGAUGGAUGAAGUGGAAGAGAGUGCAUCCGGCGUAUUGUGUGACCGCCGUAUGCCACUGAAGCUCAAGGGAAAAUUUUAUAGGAACGGCAAUAAGGCCGGCGAUGCUGUAUGGCACAGAAUGUUGGGCGGUGAAGCAUCAACACGUACACAAAAUGGGUGUAGCGGAGAUGAGGAUGCUUCGUUGGAUGUGUGGGCACACGAAGAAAGGAUAAGAUUAUGGAAUGAGGAUAUCCGGGGUAAAGUAGGAGUAGCCGAAAUUGAAGGAAAGAUGAGAGAAAAUCGGUUACGGUGGUUUGGACAUGUGCAAAGAAGGCCUACUGACGCUCCGAUUAGAAGAUGCGACUAUGGGACAGAGGUUCAGGGCCGAAGGGGUAGAGGAAGACCUAGGAAAACUUUGGAAGAGACCCUAAGAAAAGACUUAGAGUACUUGGAUCUAACGGAGGACAUGACACAGGACAGAACACAAUGGCGUUCUAAGAUUCAUAUAGCCGAUCCCACUCAGUGACUUGGAUUUUCCAAGUCUCCAACCGAGAAGUUUUCCUCACUCGGGAAAUUAAGGGAACACUACCUCAACCUACAUGCUCCACUCACAAAGCUUCAACAAAAGAAAAAUUCAAAGAACUUAGCGAAGAAGGCUUUUGGUGUAUUUAACACAAUACGUUGAAAUGAAGGAAAGCUUAUUUAUUGAUAUCCCCGAUAAGUUACAAAUAUGUACAUAUACUUGAGUCAAAAUAAACAAACAAGAGGGAGCCUUCACAAAGGUUGCUUAGGAGAAGUCUCAGCAGUCGGUAGAGCCCCAGAAAGAGAAGGCACCGGAGGGGGAUCAUUCGGAGCCUCAGUACUGGACAGAACCCUAGAAGGAGGAGGCAUCAGAGGUUGAUCAUUUGGAGCUUCAUUACGCGGUACAGCCCCAGAAGACGAAGGCAAUAAAUGCCUUUGGAACAAACCCACAAAUCUCUGAUGAUCAAGUAAAACCUGACCAUCAGAUUCCUUCAUCUGGUCAAGCUUCCUCUUCAUGUUUGUAGCAUAGUCAUGUGCGAGCCGGUGCAACUGUUUAUUCUCAUGCUUGAGCCCUCUAAUCUCCUGUUUGAGACUCAUCACUUCAGCCGCCAAUGAUUCAACUUGGCGGGUUCGAGCAAAUAGGCGUUGGGCCAUAUUAGACACAGAACCUGCACACUGAACACUGAAGAGCCAGAGAAUCCUUAACAGCCAACUCAUCAGACCGUUUGGAAAGUAGUCUGUUAUCUUUGGGAGUGAGAAGGUUCCUAGGCCACUACCGCAGCGGUCAUAUCAUUCUUCAUCACGGAAUCCCCAACGGUAAGAGGACCAGUAGGGGAGACGAAGGAUGGGCGCCAUAUGUUGUCUGAAGAAGGCGGGGCUGCCUCUUCAACAAGGUUCAAGUCAAAACGACGGUCGGAGGGGCCAGACAUUUUCAAAGGUGUUGAAGAGAGAAGAGGUCGGACAAAUCAAGAUCUUAGAAGUGCAAGAAUGGAGCUUCUACUGGUGGAUAUUCAAGUGUGCUUUGGAACUUAAUGUCAGCCCCUAUAAAAAAUCUGCACUCGACGAAGCUUCAGAAAUCGAAGAGGCGCCUGCUCAGAAAUCGAAGAGGCGUUUGCUUUCUCAAAAGCUGGGCUGCUCAGAGACCACGAGGGUUUGAUCUCAGAAAUCGAAGAGGCGUUUGCUUUCUCAAAAGCUGGGCUGCUCAAAGACCACGAAGGCCGAUCUCAGAAAUCGAAGAGGCUUGCUUUCUCAAAAGCUGGGCUGCUCAGAGACCACGAGGGCCGAUCUUAGAAAUCGAAGAGGCACCUACUUUUCCAGCCUUGUCAGCACCUGUCACACGCACACUCAGCUUUGCGGAAAUUAUGGGCAUUCUGUCGAAGAUUUCUGGUGAAGUAGAAAGCACAUGAAUCGUACUGUUCAAUCACCCACUUCCCACACGCAACAGUAGCUCAUGGGUACCACAGAUAACUUUGCCAAAGUUCUCUGACAAAGUUGAGACACGUGAAGCUUGCAGCUCCCACUACAUCGCUCUGACCAAGAAGGGUAAAAGAAUAGCAAAGAAACAACACUAACAAAGUUUAGACACAUAAAUUUUGAAGGUCUAGCUACCAUAUUAUUACCCACAAGGGUAAAGGAACAGUACCACUGCUGGAUAAUUGGAAAGUCCCGGUGUGUCAACCUCUGUGCUUCGUGGCAAGGUAGACUAGCAAACAUGCCCAACCUUUACUCACAUUCGAGAAAACACUCCCAACAAGAUUGCUUGCUCCAAAAUCGAAGAGGCACCCGCUCCUCCGAAUCUCGAGAGCCAGACUCCCAACAUGAUUACUUUCUCAAAAAUCGAAGAGACAUCCGCUCUCCGAAUCUCGAGAGCCAGACCUCCAGCAGGAUUGCUUUCUCAAAAAUCGAAAAGGCAUCGUUCUCCGAAUCUCAAGAGCUGGAUCCCUGACAGGAUUGCUUGUUCGAAAACCAAAGAGGCACCACUUUCCCAACUUCAAGAGCUGGAUCUCCUUGGAUAAAGCUUGUCUGUAAUCUUCACACACGCAACAUCAGCUUUUCCAGAUACCACAGACCCACUUUUUCAAAGUGCUCUGACAGAGUUAAAACUUGUGAAGCUGGCAGCUCCCACUACCGUGCUAUGACCAAGCAGGGUAAAGGAAUAGCAUUAUUACUUGAUGUUAGGGAGACUCCUAUAUAUGUCGACCUCCAUCCCCAACGGACAGGCAGACCUGCAAAAAUGCUCAACCCUUCCUCUUAUCUGAGAGGGCACUCCCAACGAAGCCUUUCGAAAUAUUCAGCUUUCUUUCCCCCCGAUAAUACCUCUGUAAACAAGCUAUACUAGAGCAAGAAUAUCUCAUAUCAUCAGGGUUAAAAGCAAGAGUAUCCCAUAUCAUGCUUUUUUCCCGUCUUUUCCUUUGGCCUUGUUCUUACCUGCAAGACAAGGAGAAAGAGAGCAAUCAGUCAGCACUUGGAAUCAAGCUUCCAGCCAGGAACUGACUGCCUGGAACCCCUUACCUGAUUACUUACCUGGCAUUGCUCUCGAGUACUCAUCUUCAACAUCUUAUGCUUCCAGGGAAGAUACCGCAAUCGCCUGAAGAACAGAUAGGGCAAGUGAGAAGGAUACAAGGAAGCAUGUGGAGACAAGCGUAACAGCACACGUGCCGAUACAUCCACUACUCUGUCAAAAGCAAAAGUAUCUCAUAUCAGCAGGGUCGAACGUACUCUAGAUUUGAUGGACUUGUUUUGACCCUCAAAUUCUUCAGUCGGCCUUAUACUCUGGAGGAAACCAGAAAACCCUCCAGCCCAGUUCAAGAAUAAGCCUGUGGAAAGUUACUUCUUCAAAAGCAAAAAGUAUCCCAUAUCAUCUCUUCUCAUUUUUCUUCUCUUUAUCCUUCAUGCUGCAUGCAAGAUAGGGAGAAUGUGAACAAUCAGCCGGAGCUCUGAUUGCUUACCUUGUCUGUCAUCUCUUUCAGCAGAUCCCCUAGCUCGGCGACUUAGGGGACUCCUACUACAUGGUUUGUAUCGCGCUUGACCAAGCCUGAAACUACAAGUAAGCUUCAAGUGACAAUUGAUACAUUACCUUGUGCAUCUCCACCAGUUACAGAUACCACCCCUGGAUGGAGGAAGAGUACUUCCAGAGAAGAUGCCACAUCUACCUAUGAGACAGAUAAGGAAAGUCAAGACGAUACCACACUCCGGUACUUAGAAGUUUCGUGGUUACGAGAUCAUUCUCCCACAAUAUUUCCUAAUGUCAUUUGUACUAAAUCAUUCACUUGUACUCACUAAAGGAGAGCUUGAACCUAUGUACUUGUGUAAACCCUUCACAAUUAAUGAGAACUCCUCUAUUCCGUGGACGUAGCCAAUCUGGGUGAACCACGUACAUCUUGUGUUUGCUUUCCUAUCUCUAUCCAUUUAUAUACUUAUCCACACUAAUGACCGGAGCAAUCUAGCGAAGAUCACAAAAAGUGACCGUUUUCGCUACCUAGGAUCUAUCCUUGCAAGAGAACGGAGAAUUAGAUGGAGAUCUCAACCAUAGAAUACAAGCUGGAUGGAUGAAGUGUAAGAGUGCAUCCGGCGUGUUGUGUGACCGUCGUAGGCCACUGAAGCUCAAGGGAAAAUUUUAUUUUAUAGGACGGCAAUAAGGCCAGCGAUGUUGUAUGGCACAGAAUGUUGGGCGGUGAAGCAUCAACACGUACACAAAAUGGGUGUAGCGGAGAUAAGGAUGCUUCGUGGGAUGUAUGGGCACACGAGAAAGGAUAAGAUUGGGAAUGAGGAUAUCCGAGGUAAAGUAGGAGUAGCCAAAAUUGAAGGAAAUAUGAGAGAAAAUCGGUUCCAGUGGUUUGGACAUGUGCAAAGAAGGCCUACUGACGCUCCGGUUCGAAAAUGUGACUACGGGACAGAGGUUCAGGGCCGAAGGGGUAGAGGAAGACCUAGGAAAACUUUGGAAGAGACCCUAAGAAAAGACUUGAGUACUUGGAUCUAACGGAGGACAUGACACAAAACCGAGCGCAAUGGCGUUCUAGGAUUCAUAUAGCCGACCCCACUUAGUGGGAAAAGGCUUUGUUGUUGUUGUUGUUGUUGUGGUCACUCUUAAAACCUUACCUAAGAGACCCAAAAACAAAAAUAACCGCCGAAAGAGCUAAACAUACAUAUAUAGAAAAACUUAAUUAACUGCAUGCUAAAAUGGAAGUGUAAAAUUGCCAAGAAAGAUAAGAAACUAUUUAAAUACGAAUUCUGGGCAUUACCGCCACAAAAGGCAUGAGCCGAACAGCUAUCAACAAGAACACACUUCCCAUUCAUCCAGAUAGCCCUUGUAUUUCACAUCCAUAUCUGCAUUUUCCAACAAUUCCCACUUAAACAGAAACACAAAAUUCAUCGAAAAAAUGCUAACUUCUUCGAAAUUUGAAUCCAACGUUUCGUCUUAUAACAAAUGCAAUAACAUAGAUUUGUAAUCAAUUCGAUGCCAUAAAGUUCAAGCUCAAAAUUUCAAAUCAGCUCCAAAUCAAAAGCAUUUACAGAUACAUACAUAUAUACAUAUGCGUGUGUGUGUUUAUCUACAUACCCAGGUUCAUGGCGUUGAGAGCUCGGCAGGCGACGGAGGGUGAUGACGGCGACGCCAAUUGGGUGGACGCUGCCCUUCGAAUUGGGUCGCUCCUCGCAAUAAGCUUCCCAUUACUUCCGUUUGAGAGUGACUGUCAGUGUAGAGAGAGGGAUUUUUUUUUUGUGCUUCUGGACCGGACUACACUUGAUGUUUCGGUUAUAUUACCGGGAAAAAGAACUGCCGCGGUGGCUACGCAGGGAAACUUGAAAUUUGAAAGAAGUAUGAAGUAUGGACUUGCCUUCAUUUAUUGAACUGAGAAAUCGAAAUCUGAAAGAGGCGUUUGACGAAGUGAUUGUGAUCUGACUCAAACAUGUGAUGAUGACGAUGCAUCACCACCUUGGUUGUGCCUCUGGAUCAAAAACAUACCAUCACCAUCAAAAUCGUGCAUAUUUUCCUUCAUAGGUUUGUCCCAUACUAGAUUAACCCCUAUUCCCUUAAUUAUUGCAUAAUAAGAAUUAUAGCAUGUCUCUGGCAUUCCAACGGCUAUAUCAACUUUAUCCCCGCUUUGCAAAUUGAACUUAUCGUUGGACAUUUGUCCCUGCCAAAGAAAACAUUUUUCAGGUAAACCAUCGUGCAUUUUUAUAACCCAAUCUUCCUUGCCUAUGCAGGUUUGCAACUCAGUACGCUUGGUAUUAUUUAUAUCAAUACUGCCACGAGGAUGACAAUAUUUAAAGCUCAUAGAAGGGCUUGAGGGACAAGUUAAGUGAUAAAAGCAUAACAGAGUCAACCCUUCAAAAUUACGACCAUCACUUGGGGGGUAUCAAAACUGACUUUAUCACCAUCGUUGACAAACUCGAACCAAUCAGGAACAUAAUUCGCAUCGAGAAAAAUGCCAGCAUAUCCGUAAGAAGUCCAUCCCUAUAUAUACAGUGCAAGUGUCAUAUACAUACAUACAUACAUACAUACAUACAUAUAUGUAAAUGUGCAUUGUGUGUGCAUGUGCGCAAUAGGAAGACAAUUAAAGAGAGAGAUACCUUUAGGACCUUCCUCCUAAAAUCAGCUGUGAGAUUGGUGCACUUUUGCAUUACAAUCCAUUUCAUGGAGUUUAAUGACUUAUCCAAGUCCGGAAUCUCUGUGAGUGCGUGUGAACCAGUUACAUUCAGUUCUCUCAUAUUUGACAUUUUCGAAAAAUUGGGCAUUUUUACCAAACAACAGCAACCAUAAGCAUCCAGAAAUUUCAAAUUUGUUGGUAAAUCAUAGAUUGUAUGAAGCUGGGAACAAUAACUUAACCACAUACCUUCAAGCUUUGAAAGACCAUUGAGGCUGGGUAGGGUGUGUAAGAUACUGCAGUGACUUAACUCCAGAGUUUUAAGAUUUGAAAGACCAUUGAGGCUGGGUAGGGUGUGUAAGUUACUGCUGUGACUUAAUUCCAGAGUUUCAAGAUUUGAAAGACCAUUGAGGCAGGGAAGGGUGUGUAAGUUACCACAGUGAUUUAACCACAUAGUUUUAAGAUUUGAAAGACCAUUGAGGCUGGGUAGGGUGUGUAAGUUACUGCAGUGACUUAACCACAGAGUUUUAAGAUUUGAAAGAUCAUUGAGGCUGGGUAGGAUGUGUAAGUUACUGCAGUGACUUAACCCUAGAGUUUUAAGAUUUGAAAGACCAUUGAGGCUGGGUAGGAUGUGUAAGUUACUGCAGUGACUUAACUCCAGGGUUUUAAGAUUUGAAAGACCAUUGAGGCUAGGUAGGGUGUGUAAGUUACUGCAGUGACUUAACCAUAGAGUUUUAAGAUUUGAAAGACAAUUAAGGCUGGGUAGGGUGUGUAAGUUACUGCAUUGACUUAACCCCAGAGUUUUAAGAUUUGAAAGACCAUUGAGGCUGGGUAGGGUGUGUAAGUUACUGCAGUGACUUAACUCCAUACCUUCAAGCUUUGAAAGACCAUUGAGGCUGGGUAGGGUGUGUAAGUUACUGCAGUGACUUAACUCCAGAGUUUCAAGAUUUGAAAGACCAUUAAGGCUGGGUAGGGUGUGUAAGUUACUGCAGUGACUUAACUCCAGGGUUUUAAGCUUUGAAAGACCAUUGAGGCUGGGUAAGGUGUGUAAGUUACUGCAGUGACUUAACCACAGAGUUUUAAGAUUUGAAAGACCAUUGAGGCUGGGUAGGGUGUGUAAGUUACUGCAUUGACUUAACCCCAGAAUUUUAAGAUUUGAAAGACCAUUGAGGCUGGGUAGGAUGUGUAAGUUACUGCAGUGACUUAACUCCAAAGUUUUAAGCUUUGAAAGACCAUUGAGGCUGGGUAGGGUGUGUAAGUUACUGCAGUGACUUAACUCCAGAGUUUUAAGCUUUGAAAGACCAUUGAGGCUGGGUAGGGAGUGUAAGUUACUGCAGCGACUUAACCCCAGAGUUUUAAGCUUUGAAAGACCAUUGAGGCUGGGUAGGGUGUGUAAGUUACUGCAAUGACUUAACCCCAGAGUUUUAAGAUUUGAAAGACCAUUGAGGCUGGGUAAGGUGUAUAAGUUACUGCAGUGAUUUAACUCCAGAGUUUUAAGUUGUGAAAGACCACUCAGGCCGGGUAGGGUAUGAAGGUUACAGCAGUUACUUAACUGCAAAUUUUCAAGUUUUGAAAGACCACAUAGGCUGGGUAGGGUAUGAAAAUAAUGUUUUGAGAGAUCUAAAUUUCCGUCUAACGAAUUGGGAAACUGCAAAGUAAACUUCGAUUCCACAGACGCUAGAGAUAAAUGAGUGAGAUUCUUCAAUCUUACUAUGGAACAGGGUACUUGUCUUAUGGCUGUGGAAGAUGCUAUAAGUACUCUCAAUGAUGUCAUCUUCCCUAAAUCCUCGGGCAGUUCACUGAAUUGCUGACAUCCAUUAAGAACAAGAGUCUGAACGGAUUUGGACUUGUAGAAAUCCCCAGGAAGAGAAAUAAGAUUCUGGCAGCCUGUGAGGUUCACCAAAGAAAGUUUUUUAAGAUGACAAAUGGAGGGGUGAAUCUCGGACAAACUGUUACACCAUUCCAAUAUCAACUCUUCAAGAUUUAGGAGAUUUGAAAAGUCUGGUGAUUUUUUUAAGUCAAGGCAAUAACUGAGAUUAAGGAUUUUCAAGUUUCCAAGCGACUGUUGCACAAAAUCAAAGGAAAAUUAAAAUUAAUAUCCAAAAACAAAUGGAAACAUAACAUCAUCAUGUGUAAUCGAUUGUACCUUGGAGCCCUCCCAAACUUGUACAAGUCUGCUAUACGCUAUCUCUAAAAUAACCAGUGCUCUUGGUUGAUCAAAGAAGUGAUCUGGUAUGGACUUUAAAGGGCAUCCAAACCAACGCAACCAUAUUAACUCUUUGGAAAGAUGUUUGUAUUCUCCAUUGAGCUGCACGUUGUAGAGCUGCAGCAGUCUCAGUUUCUUCAUAUUGGCAAAUGCUUCUGUACUGAAGCUUCGAAGCCUUUGCAGCCAAUGAUCUCCAGAAAAAUUAAGAGCAAGUCCUUUAACUUCUUCAGUUCCCUGUUAACAAAAGGUUAUAUUCAUGUGUAAGAAACGGAAUAUUUGCAUAUGUUUACAUGUAUGAAUACAUGCAAGUACUAUUGUUGGCUAAUUGAGAUGAUGUUACUUAAUGUAUAAUACACAUCCGUGAGUUAUAUGUGCUUUUCAUGUACGAUGCAUCAAUUCAGAAUUUUAUUGGGACUAUACUUACAAAUUUAUCUCUCAAUACAUCAAUGACCUCUUGCUGGUUCCACAACCUACUCCAUUCUCCAGGGUGACGAGGGGAUUUUUCAGAAAUGAUUAAUUUGGCCAUUUCUUGAAGCAAAUCAUGCAUAUUCAACUUCUUGUGUUCAAUAGUGAUAAGGCAUCGUUCACAGAGGACAUUGAUUCCUAUUGUUGCAAAAAACUUACAUCCAUCUAAUAUUUUUGCGACAUAGUCCUUAUCCCAUCCAAUAAAGAAACAAGAUAUGUCAAGGAAUAUAUCCUUUUGUGUAGGAUCUAGCCUUUCAAAGCUUACUCUUAGUGGUUUCAUUAUUCCUUCAUCAGGAAAUUUUUUCAAUUUCUCCAACUGACUUUUCUACUCUGUUGGUGUUCUUUCAAUCAUAAAAGAAGAACCUAAAACUGCAAGGGCUAGUGGCAAACCACCACAGUAAGAAACAACCUCUUUUGAGAGUUCAAGAUAUCCUUCAUUAGGCCAACUCUUUCCAAAGGCAUGCCAACUAAAGAGCUUCAGAGCUUCUUCUUCAUUCAUUUCCUUAAGUGAAUAUGUCUUGUCCACUUUCAUGUUCACUUGCUUUAGAAAACGUUCAUCUCGUGUCGUUAUGAUAAUUCUACUUCCUGGGCCAAACCAAUCACGAUUUCCAGCUAUUGCAUCUAGUUGUUCCACUUUGUCUACAUUGUCAAUAAUGACAAGCACGCUUCUACGUUGGAGAUGAUUUUUUAUCAGACUGAUACCUCUAUCAACACUGGUUAUCUUAGACUCGGUAUGUUUCAAGAUGUCAGAAACAAGUCUUCCUUGCAAAUCAACCAGAUCACAUUCACUAACGUUGGCAAGGAAACUUUUGAAUUGGAACUUAUGAUGAAGUUGGUUAUAAAUGGCUUUGGCAGCUGUUGUUUUACCCAAUCCACCAAUCCCCCAAAUUCCAACCAUGCGAACAACAUAUGAUCCACCAUUUGAAAGAUAAGUGAUGAUAUCUUGAAUGCGAGUAUAUAUUCCAACUGGGUGCUUGGCCAAAUGUAAAUUUUCUGCGCUCGGAAGCCAUUUUGGGAUAAUCUUGUCAACAAUUUCUCUAAUAAGCUUUGCUUCGCGCCUGAAAAAUUGAAUUGGUAAGCUUAGUAAGUAGGCUCAGUAGGAGCUAUUAGUACUAAUAUAAACAAUUUUCUUUCCUUCUUUCCUUCGUGUGUGUGUGUGUGUGUGUACAUAUAUGUACACAAACUAGCUACUAGCUAGUACGUGAUUUUGUGACCAACUUCAAUAAAAGAAACAAGUUCAUUCAUUGAUAUAUUAAAGUUUGGUGCAUCAAUUAAACUCCAAUUAUGGUUUAGAUUUUAGAGGAAAUUAGAGAAAUGGUCCUUGAACUAUGAUCAAAUUGUGGCCUUGGUUCUUAAAACUAAAAAUUCAAUAAAUCUCCUCCCUGAACUUAACAAAAUAUGAAGCAUUGGUCCCUAAAUGUUAACACCGUAUGAUUUUCUGUUAAUUUGAUUAUGUCGUCUUUGUGGGCUCCAUAUUAUUGUUUACUAGAUGGCACGUGGCUUGAAAAGUCAAAAUAAAAGAAAAUAAAUACAAACAUAGAGAAAGAAAGAGAGAGAAAAAAAAACUUUAAAUUAUAAAAGUUAACUCUCUCUCCCAUCCUCCCUUCCGCCUCACCUCCUCCAAACCCCAACCACACCAUUGUAGCACUUUCCCAACAGCCAAAACAAAAGAAAGUUUCUAAUCCAAUUUUGGAACACGUCUCCGUUUGCAAACGAAUUCACAAUGACAUCCAUUCACGCUGUCUCGACAGGUAAGAUUCAAGAAAUUUGUGGGAUGCGGGUUCGGGGUUCGGGUGAAGGCUGUGGUCCGUGGGCUACAGUUUGGAGUCGGCUGGAGAGUGGGAUUAGGGAUUGGGGGUUGGAAGUGGGAGGUUGACGGGGUGUGAAUCAAAGAUUGAAGGUGAAGGGGUGGCUGCGAGUGUUGGUGGGAUGAGGUAGGUGAAACUAACAUGUAAAGUUGUAAACCCUUUUAACUAAAAUUUAAAGGAAUUGGUUACGAAGGACUAACGCUCCAUAUUUUAUCAAGUUCAAGGGCAAAAUGUAAUGAAUUUUUAGUUUAGGAACCACAGCUACAAUUUUCCUCUAGAUUUUAUAUGAGAGAUUAAGGCGUAUUAAUUAAGCAUGAUAAUUAGAGUAAUACAACUUAAAUACUGAAAGCACAUGAAUGAUUACCUAUUAUCAGUGAUUUGAAGAUGGUAGCCAGACAAAUUUGCAGCUUUUGUAAGAACCUCUCCCCACUGCUUUACCUCUUCUUGUUUAGCUUCACGUUUCUUGUCAUCCUUUUCUUCACCGACGCCUUCUUCGUGCUUUUGAAAUUCUUCGGCUGACUUUGCAGCUUCUGUAAGAGCCUUUAUCCACUGCUCUACCCUUUCUCGUUUUUCUUCACGUUUCUUGUCAUCUUUUUCUUCACUGAUGUCAUUUUUGUGCUUCUGAAAUGCUUGGGCUAAAACUCCGUUCUGCUUCCUGACAUGUGAAGGAUCAAUGUGAUAGAAUAUUGGCAAAACAUGUCGCCCCAGUUUGUCUCUGCACUCCAUGAUCUUCACCAGCUCGUUAAGACACCAACUCGAAUCCGCAUACCUCUCUGAGAAGACAAUGAUAGAGGUCUUCGAUUCUUCGAUUGCCUGGAGCAGUUCUUUUGGUAUUUCUUCCCCUCUUUUGAGAUCGUCCUCAUCAAUAUAAGCCUGGUAUCCCCUGUCUGUUAAUGCCGCGUGGAGGUGGCCCGUGAAGCCAUUGCGUGUGUCUACACCGCUAAAGCUCAAGAACACGUCGUAAUUCCAAAGUUUUGACUUGGAGGAGGAUGAAGAGGAGGCUUCGUGGGUUGUCAUGGCGGUAUCCACCGUUAUGGCACUGCAGUGGUUCAGAUCACGACUGAAGAAUGGUAGUAGUUGUGUUCGUGCAUUCAAACGGAUGAUCCUGAAAUACCUAAACGCAAGUCAAGCUCCUUCAGUCAACAAGAACAAAGUUUAUAAUAUAAUAAUUUUGGCGUAUGGACUUGAGAAACGACAUAGUGUUGGCCGGAAGGUGCAGAAAAAGAGAGAGGAAAAAAGAAAAGAAAGGAACGAAAGGACAAAGACCAUCCAAAAGAUUCUUGGCUGUGAUUACAGCUAUUCAUAGGAGAAACAACGGACAUAUUUUCAUAGGAGAAACAACCUUCCCAUCUUCAUAUAUAAUGCAUUUCAACGGACAUAUUUUAAUAGGAGAAACAACUUUAGUUUGUACUAGAAAUUUUUACCCGCACGUUGAUGCGGCAUUUGAAAUUGUAUGAAAGAUUAUCUUUGAAAUAUAUAAUAGAUUGUGUGAUUGAAGAUUAAUACUAUUUACAUUGAAAACGUUGGAAAAAGUUUUACAUAUAAAAGAUUUUAUGAUACAAUCCACGUAUAAAAGAUGGUAAAUUUUGUUCUAUCUACAUGCAUUAUGUUAUGGAAUGAUAUAUAUAUAUAUAUAACUAAGUUCCAGAAUAUGUAAACUUCAUAACUUGGAAAUUUUUUGACAAAUUAAUCAGAUUCAACUGUGGGUUAGCAAGGUCGCCUAUAAAGUUUGAAGUCGUAGAAGCAUAAAGGACAAAUAACAAAUGAGUUUUGAGAAAUUAUUCCACAAAUGUCAUUCUGCAAAAUGUAUUAAAGACGAUUGGUAUAAGAUUAGCAAUCAUGAGUAGUGUAACAACAUCAACAAAAUAACCAUAAACCAUAACAUAAUUCAAAUUUUGUUUGCAAAAACAAAAGAAAAAGAAAAGAGACUUACAAUAAUUCAACCUUCAAUCUUGAAGUCCAGCUCAAAGAGCCAAACCUAAAUGCAAGCUUUCUGAAAUUUCCCAAACAAUACAGAUAAAACGGUAACACCCUAGUCAGAAAUGAACCAAGGUGCGAGCUUUCUAAGAAACCCAGAUGACAAAAUCAACAAAAUAGAAUGGAAAAAUGACUUACACUUUGAAGGCAUGCUCGAACCUUGAUCUAAAAUUGGUGGUGGGUCGAUUGUUGGUCACCAACUCUAAAUGAAGAAUUCAUCAGAACCUAGAAAUUUAAAACAAAGAAUUUUCCAAAAUCAACAUUUACUAAAAACCAGUUGCUUGGUUAUCAUGCAUGAUGGCUUGACAAAGACUGAAUUAAGGAAUGCAAACUUUACUUUCAUGAUUAUUUUUAAUGACAGCUAAAAGGUCAGAUCCAAAUGAAAAUAAAAGUUAGGACUUCACAAAACCAAUUAAAAAUCUAAUUCUAAAGUUAUAAGCACCCACAAAAUGAUUCCAGAUAAAGUUUUACACUCAAGGUCAAACCCAAAUGAAAUUAAAAGUUAGGACUUCACAAAACCAAUUGAAAAUCUGAUUCCAAAGUUCCAAACACCCACCAAAUGAUUCCAGAUAAAGUUUAAACUCAAAAACCCAAUAGAAACAAAAGCACUGGUAUAAAUUAACUGUAUCUAAUUGAAGAAACUAAAACAAAAGUAAAGCAAAGUAUAUACCUCAAAAUGUCAAGCAACUAAGUUCUUCCUCCGACGACCCAAAACUCUGAAAAUUCCACACAAAAAAAAAGGCAAAUCCAUUAGCAAUUCAUAGCUUUCAAAAUUAGCAAAAACUUGGGCAACAAUAAAGAUGUGUCUAGAACCAUCAAUCUUUCUCCUUAUGCAUUUGAAAAGAUAUGUUAUAAGCAGUUUAUGUAGUCAUUCUGAACAUGUUGCAUAUAAAUUCCUUUUCUACAGGGUUCAAAAAAAUAUGGCAGUUUAUGGAAUCUGUUGAAUGACAUAGUUGAAAGAUUUAAAAUUGAUACAUUCAAUUUUUAUGUGUAAAACUAUAACAUAUAGCUAAAGCUAUUGGGUCCAUAUCAGUCAUGUCGUAAUUGAAUGUUUAUCGAUGUAAAUAGAUGAUUUCAGUCAUGGGAUAACAUGUUUCUUGAUAGUAUACGCUGAAGUUUGGUCUAAGUUGGAUAUAAAUCGACCAAAAUCUUAAUAAGAGACUUUUUUAACUUUUAACCAAAAAAUGAGCACCACAAUACUACACUUAUAAGUUUUAUCAUGCACAAAAUACACAGCACUGAUUGCCACUUUUAGAGCAAGAACAAUACUUUACCAAAAGAAAACAACAAAACACCCAAAACCCAGAAACAUAAACACACUUAGGACUCAAACUCCUCAAAAACAUGAGAAAGAGAGAGAGUGUGUGAGGAGAAAGAAUAAAAAAAAAAAUUAUUUUUCACACAAACUCAAAAUUGCUUAUAAAAUUACAAAUGAAUGCAAAUCCAAAAUUGCCCUAAAUUAAAUCUGAUUAGUUAAAUGUUUGUUGCCCCAGAAAUUUCGUUACACCUCACAAAACUUGCUUUGAAGUUGAUAUUUUGGUCAAUCCAGGGGAAAAGGAGUUAUUGGUUUUGGAGCAGUUGUCAUGGAGAAUACCAUCUCCCUGUAGAAUGAUCUAAAAAAGGACUUACAGCUUAUGGUGGCCAUAAUAAUUUAGGAGGCCCUUCUCUCCAAAUUUUCUCAAUAACUUUCCUUUUCGUA
This 39746-nucleotide long non-coding RNA is filed under the name Malus domestica (apple). RNAcentral's name for it is "long non-coding RNA (MDOM_LNC001356)". Lineage: Eukaryota; Viridiplantae; Streptophyta; Magnoliopsida; Rosales; Rosaceae. The record is from RNAcentral.